CUCAUUUUGGCAGAUCAAAAAUUGCAAAAGACUUAGAAUCUUAUUAACCUAUC
Molecule: transfer RNA, 53 nt
Filed under: Dysdera lusitanica
Lineage: Eukaryota; Metazoa; Arthropoda; Arachnida; Araneae; Dysderidae
Description: tRNA-Leu
Source: RNAcentral